GCAGUAAUUUGGCUAUACUUGCACGUGACAUGGUAGUGAGUUUGGUAGAGACUAGGCAUUCACAAAAUGGCCACUGCAUCAUCAGCAGAUGCAGAGCACGAUCGGAGAGUGGCUAUACUCGAGUCUCUUCGCGCUGGAAAGUCGCUGUGGGAAAUAAUCGAGUGGUUUGGUUACAAGACGAUGCAGGUUUAUGACCUAGCGAAGAGGUUCACGGAGGUUCUGAGAUGGAGGAAGUCAUUCCUGACCAGGUUAAACAUCGAAAGCGGUCUGACUGUAAAGGCGGUUUCACAUAGCCAGCAAGAAGAAACAUGCG
Molecule: long non-coding RNA, 313 nt
Filed under: Androctonus crassicauda
Lineage: Eukaryota; Metazoa; Arthropoda; Arachnida; Scorpiones; Buthidae
Source: RNAcentral